CCUACGGGUGGCAGCAGUGGGGGAUAUUGCACAAUGGGGGGAACCCUGAUGCAGCGACGCCGCGUGAGGGAAGACGGCCUUCGGUUUGUUAACCUCUUUCUCAGGGGACGAAGGAGAUGACGGUACCCCGUGAGGAAGCCACGGCAAACUACGUGCCAGCAGCCGCGGUAAUACGUAGGUGGCGAGCGUUGCCCGGAAUUACUGGGUGAAAAGGGAGCGUAGGCGGGAUAUUAAGUUGAAUGUAUAAACUACCGGCUUAACCGAUGGAAGAGUUCAAAACUGAUAUUCUUGAGUGAAGUAGAGGCAGGCGGAAUUCCUAGUGUAGCGGUGAAAUGCAUAGAUAUUAGGAGGAACACCAGUGGCGAAGGCGGCAUGCUGGGCUUUAACUGACGCUGAGGCACGAAAGCGUGGGUAGCGAACAGGAUUAGAUACCCGGGUAGUC
Molecule: ribosomal RNA, 442 nt
Filed under: uncultured bacterium
Lineage: Bacteria
Description: partial 16S ribosomal RNA
Rfam family: Bacterial small subunit ribosomal RNA
Source: RNAcentral